This 199-nucleotide ribosomal RNA is filed under the name uncultured bacterium. Its description in RNAcentral is "partial 16S ribosomal RNA". It matches the Rfam family "Bacterial small subunit ribosomal RNA", at positions 1302 to 1500 of the family's 1533-position model. The record is from RNAcentral.
AGUCUGCAACCCGACUACAUGAAGCUGGAAUCGCUAGUAAUCGCGAAUCAGCAUGUCGCGGUGAAUACGUUCCCGGGUCUUGUACACACCGCCCGUCACACCAUGGGAGUUGGAAAUGCCCGAAGUCAGUGACCCAACCGAAAGGAGGGAGCUGCCGAAGGCAGGUUCGAUAACUGGGGUGAAGUCGUAACAAGGUACC